GAAGUCGGUCAGGCAACCGCCGCGCGCCGUUUGAGGGCGCGGGGAGGAAAGUCCGGGCUUCACAGAGCGGGAUGCCGGUUAACGGCCGGGCGCCGCGAGGCGACGGAAAGUGCAACAGAGAAUAGACCGCCGAUGGCCGAAGGCGCCUCGUUUACGAAGCGCCGUUGCGGAAGGUUUCGCGCCUUCCGCCGGAUCAGGCAAGGGUGAAACGGUGGCCCGGAGUAUCCGGGACAGGGGGUGAAAUCCCCCUCGUGGUAAGAGCCCACCGCGGACGUGGCAACACGGACGGCAUGGCAAACCCCAUCCGAAGCAAGGCCAAAUAGGGAAGCACAGGCGUGGCUCGCGCCGCUUCCGGGUAGGCUGCUCGAGCGCGUCGGCGACGGCGCGCCUAGAUGAAUGGUUGCCCAACGACAGAACCCGGCUUAUCGACCGACUUCCCCU
RNAcentral lists this RNase P RNA (441 nucleotides) under Accumulibacter sp. RNAcentral's name for it is "RNase P RNA component class A". It matches the Rfam family "Bacterial RNase P class A". Rfam says of the family: Ribonuclease P (RNase P) is a ubiquitous endoribonuclease, found in archaea, bacteria and eukarya as well as chloroplasts and mitochondria. Lineage: Bacteria; Pseudomonadati; Pseudomonadota; Betaproteobacteria. The record is from RNAcentral.